UACGUAGGUCCCGAGCGUUGUCCGGAUUUAUUGGGCGUAAAGCGAGCGCAGGUGGUUUAUUAAGUCUGGUGUAAAAGGCAGUGGCUCAACCAUUGUAUGCAUUGGAAACUGGUAGACUUGAGUGCAGGAGAGGAGAGUGGGAUUCCAUGUGUAGCGGUGAAAUGCGUAGAUAUAUGGAGGAACACCGGUGGCGAAAGCGGCUCUCUGGCCUGUAACUGACACUGAGGCUCGAAAGCGUGGGGAGCAAGCAGG
This 252-nucleotide ribosomal RNA is filed under the name uncultured bacterium. RNAcentral's name for it is "partial 16S ribosomal RNA". It matches the Rfam family "Bacterial small subunit ribosomal RNA", at positions 524 to 776 of the family's 1533-position model. The record is from RNAcentral.